This is a long non-coding RNA of Oreochromis aureus, 640 nucleotides long. NCBI's taxonomy places the organism in Eukaryota, Metazoa, Chordata, Actinopteri, Cichliformes, Cichlidae. The record is from Ensembl.
AAAUUUGAGGAUGGCAUUAACCUUAACCCAACUUCUUUUCCAAGUAUGCAGAAGAAAACGAUGAGAUCCACAGACACCUUGGACUCUGGAUUCGAGCUGGAUCAUACCACAGCAGAAACAGAUCAAGAGGACGUGAUAGAGGUGAGAGAACAAUGACCAGGUCCUGACGUUCCUGAUAUAGAGUCAGGUCCAUAAAUAUUUGGACAGAGACAACUUUUUUCUAAUUUUGGUUCUGUACAUCACCACAGUGAAUUUUAAAUGAAACCCCGCCUCCCCUGUGUUAGAGCCCAUGCCAUAACACUGCCUCAGACACGUGCAGCUCUGCAGAUGCUUUAAAGUCUGAUCUAACCUUCCUGUUCCUGAGUGUACCCACAGGUUUGCACCUUGUUAUAAACUCUCCAUGAAGGAGUCUCUUGAUUGUCAACCUUCUGAUCCUCCUGCAGAGUUCCUGACUUGGUUAGAUGUUGUAAAAUUGUUUUUCUAACUGUGGAAAUAAUUCAGUCAUCAUGACCUUUAGCUGUCUUCUGUGGUCAUUCAGGUGUUUUGGCGUUGCUUAGCUGCUCAGUGCAGUCCUUCUUUUAAUAAUAAAUGAGAUUGUAGUUUUGAGGUUCUUGCUCUCUCUGACUGGUUUAUUUGGGUU